ACCUGGAUGUUGAUGCUGUCACCAGGAUACAGUAGACCACUGGAUGGCAACAUCUCAAAGCUUUAUCGGAGUGGAGCCGGAGCCACAGCUCACAGCUGGACACCAACUCAAGGAUAACCAGACAUUCAAUGGCCUAGAUGGCAGUGGAGUUUUCACAGAGAUGGACUCGUUCCUGCUGUCCACCCCUGUGCGUUCUGUGUGACUACUUUGUGCUCUUUUUGUGAAUAUUCAUAGGUCAGAUGCAUGACAAUUUGUCACAUAAAGAUGUAUUCUGUUUUUGAUAAAUAGUUUGUUCAUAUUGCAGCUCUUACUACGGC
Long non-coding RNA from Ictalurus punctatus (channel catfish), 317 nucleotides. The record is from Ensembl. NCBI's taxonomy places the organism in Eukaryota, Metazoa, Chordata, Actinopteri, Siluriformes, Ictaluridae.